This 55-nucleotide ribosomal RNA is filed under the name Astraeus sp. ASTRAE-52. RNAcentral's name for it is "partial 5.8S ribosomal RNA". The record is from RNAcentral. Lineage: Eukaryota; Fungi; Basidiomycota; Agaricomycetes; Boletales; Astraeaceae.
GAACGCACCUUGGCGCUCCUUGGUAUUCCGAGGAGCAUGCCUGUUUGAGUGUCAU